AGAGUUUGAUCCUGGCUCAGGACGAACGCUGGCGGCACGCUUAACACAUGCAAGUCGAACGAGAGAAGAGGAGCUUGCUUUUCUGAUCUAGUGGCGGACGGGUGAGUAACACGUGAGCAAUCUGCCUUUCAGAGGGGGAUACCGAUUGGAAACGAUCGUUAAUACCGCAUGACAUAAUUGAACCGCAUGAUUUGAUUAUCAAAGAUUUAUCGCUGAAAGAUGAGCUCGCGUCUGAUUAGCUAGUUGGUAAGGUAACGGCUUACCAAGGCGACGAUCAGUAGCCGGACUGAGAGGUUGAUCGGCCACAUUGGGACUGAGACACGGCCCAGACUCCUACGGGAGGCAGCAGUGGGGAAUAUUGCACAAUGGAGGAAACUCUGAUGCAGCGAUGCCGCGUGAGGGAAGAAGGUUUUAGGAUUGUAAACCUCUGUCUUCAGGGACGAAAAAAGACGGUACCUGAGGAGGAAGCUCCGGCUAACUACGUGCCAGCAGCCGCGGUAAUACGUAGGGAGCGAGCGUUGUCCGGAAUUACUGGGUGUAAAGGGAGCGUAGGCGGGAUCGCAAGUCAGAUGUGAAAACUAUGGGCUUAACCCAUAAACUGCAUUUGAAACUGUGGUUCUUGAGUGAAGUAGAGGUAAGCGGAAUUCCUAGUGUAGCGGUGAAAUGCGUAGAUAUUAGGAGGAACAUCAGUGGCGAAGGCGGCUUACUGGGCUUUAACUGACGCUGAGGCUCGAAAGCGUGGGGAGCAAACAGGAUUAGAUACCCUGGUAGUCCACGCCGUAAACGAUGAUUACUAGGUGUGGGGGGACUGACCCCUUCCGUGCCGCAGCAAACGCAAUAAGUAAUCCACCUGGGGAGUACGACCGCAAGGUUGAAACUCAAAGGAAUUGACGGGGGCCCGCACAAGCAGUGGAGUAUGUGGAUUAAUUCGAAGCAACGCGAAGAACCUUACCAGGUCUUGACAUCGUAUGCAUAGCUCAGAGAUGAGUGAAAUCUCUUCGGAGACAUAUAGACAGGUGGUGCAUGGUUGUCGUCAGCUCGUGUCGUGAGAUGUUGGGUUAAGUCCCGCAACGAGCGCAACCCUUACUGUUAGUUGCUACGCAAGAGCACUCUAGCAGUACUGCCGUUGACAAAACGGAGGAAGGUGGGGAUGACGUCAAAUCAUCAUGCCCCUUAUGACCUGGGCCUCACACGUACUACAAUGGCUGUCAACAGAGGGAAGCAAAGCCGCGAGGUGGAGCGAACCCCUAAAAGCAGUCUUAGUUCGGAUUGUAGGCUGCAACCCGCCUACAUGAAGUCGGAAUUGCUAGUAAUCGCAGAUCAGCAUGCUGCGGUGAAUACGUUCCCGGGCCUUGUACACACCGCCCGUCACGCCAUGGGAGUCGGUAACACCCGAAGCCUGUAGUCUAACCGCAAGGAGGACGCAGUCGAAGGUGGGAUUGAUGACUGGGGUGAAGUCGUAACAAAGUA
Molecule: ribosomal RNA, 1470 nt
Filed under: metagenome
Description: bacterial SSU rRNA
Rfam family: Bacterial small subunit ribosomal RNA
Source: RNAcentral